This 293-nucleotide ribosomal RNA is filed under the name uncultured eukaryote. RNAcentral describes it as "partial 18S ribosomal RNA". It matches the Rfam family "Eukaryotic small subunit ribosomal RNA", at positions 6 to 302 of the family's 1831-position model. The record is from RNAcentral.
GGUUGAUCCUGCCAGUAGUCAUAUGCUUGUCCCAAAGAUUAAGCCAUGCAUGUCCAAGUAUAUACCUUUAUACGGUGAAACUGCGAAUGGCUCAUUAUAUCAGUUAUAAUUUACUUGAUGGUUUCUUUACUACUUGGAUAACCGUGGUAAUUCUAGAGCUAAUACAUGCAAAGGACCCGACUUUUGUGGAAGGGUCGUAUUUAUUAGAUAAAAACCAAUGCCAGCAAUGGCCCUUGGCGAGUCAUGAUAACUGCGCGGAUCGUAUGGCCUUGCGCCGACGACGCUUCAUUCAA